UUUUUUUUUUUUUUCUUUUUAGGGCCGCACCCUUGGCAUAGGGAGGUUUCCAGGCUAGAGGUCAAAUCAGAGCUGCAGUCGCCAGCCUACACUACUGCCACAGCAAUGUGGGAUCCAAGCCUUGUCUGCAACCUAUACCAUGGCAAACGGCACUGCUGGAUCCUUAACCCAUUGAGCAAGGCCAGGGAUCGAACCCUUAUCCUUACUGAUCCUAGUUGGGUUCAUUAACUGCUGAGCCAAAACCGAAGGGAACUCCUAAAAAUUCUGAUUAUUGAAAUAAUGCCUGCUCAUUGUAAAAAAUUCACUAAAACAGAAAAAUGGAGGAGAAAAAUUACUGAUAAUCUUAUAAUUAUCCAGAGUAUCUACUGUUAUCCUUUGAUAUAUUACCUUCCAUCUUUUUUCUAAGUGUAAAAAUGCAUAGUUUUGAAACAAAAAGUGAUCAUAUUAAACCUAUUGCUUGAACAGAGCGCUUUCUUCAGUAGGGUCCGUAUUUGCAAACGUAGUCUGCAUCAGAGGUUCCUCCUGGUGGCUCGUCCUCAUCCAGCUCAUAGGCAUGUUUUGUUUAGUUUGCAGAGUUAAAUCUAGCCAACUUAAAAAAACAAAAACAAAAACAUGGUAUCUUACAGAAAAGUCACAUUCUCCUGCUUUGGAAAAUCUGAAGCUCUGGUCACACUGGGCCUGCGUUCCAAGAAGCCAGUGACUGGUUGGCACUGAAGAGUGUUUUAUAUCGCAUUCCUGGCCCAUGUAGAUCCCUGGUCUAACUGCAGCUGGUAAUAGGUAUGGAGCAUUUUCUGGCGGUUCUCAACUAGAAUAAACACUCUGAGAGCAGGGCUAGUCUACUUUAUCUUUUAACCUUUAGACCCUCAGCCCUUCCCACUUACUUAGAUCUGAAUAAUUAUGUGACAUAGAUAUGUGACUGAAAGGACUCAUUGGUGACAUUUCACAUAUUCACAUCACUCUAGGAGUGUGUGGAGGGUUCGGGAAACCUGACCUUCACUCCAGAGCCUUGGGGUUCUUCUGUCCCUUGCAGUGGCUCCCACAGCUGGACCCAAAGUGGGGCUCCAGCCACCCUGGUAACUUUGGGGCAUCUGGCCUCUUUCUUCCUGGAAGAAACUGACAAGCUUUCCAAAGGUAAAAUAUAUAGUAAUUCCUUCACUUCCCAACCAAAGGCAGCCAACUCUCAAGUGAAAGAUGACAGGUCUUGAAUAGCACCAGUAAGCCUUUCAAAACAUCCAGCGCUGGAAGAGAGCAAAGGAGAAGUCUGUCAUCAUCUCCCCGUGGUGGCCCUUGCUUUUGUGUUUCUCUUCGCUGCCUUUUCAGCACUGCGAGUAUUUUCUAGGCGCCAUGGGGUGCACUCAGCAUGAGUUCCUCGUGGGUGCUGGCGCUUAUAUUAGAAGCUGGAUUUCGGGGACAGCUGGAAUGCUUCCUGGCGGCUCCACCCUGCGGGCUGCACGUGAGGCCCAACCGCAAGACGUGAGGCCAGGCCCCUUUAAUCCCACACCAGAGCCUCGGCUUCCAAAACCUGAUCCUCCAAAAUUUGGACUUAUAUAACUUAUUUGUUUAUUUUGAAGCCAGCCCCGUCCAAGUUGAGAACACUUAAGACGCCCUUUUAGAGGAAAUUUGGAACCCAGCAUUAUCAUUAACUAAAUCAGCAAGCAACGGGUCUGUAAAAAAUACCAGGCAGCGCAGUUCUGAGGACUUUUAUUGUCAUGUUCCUGGUGGAAUUACAUCGUGGGGUGGUUUCUCUGAAAAUCAUCCCAAGGCUUUGCUCUCUCUGCCUCUCCCUCUGUCUUGUUCUUGCUCUCAUUCUGGCUCUCUGGCUCUCCCUAGGAAAACCAUGGCUUGGGUCUAAGCGGUCGGUCGGAGGGUGGUGGCUGCCACUUUCUGCUGUGUAGGAGCCCCUUUCCUUUGGCAAGGGCCCGGGUCAUCCUUGUUCUGUGCUCCACCACAGUGGCUCUCCUGCUAGCUUAGUUGGUGGGGCCUCUGGAAGACCUAGUGCUCUCUGUACAACAUGGUAAAGCAGAAAACAAUACAUGACACCUAUCGCUGCGUCAGUUUGGAUGCCACUUUUUUUUUUUUUUUUUUUUUUUUUUCUUUUUACAGCUGCUUCUGCAGCAUAUGGAAGGUCCCAGGCUAGGGGUCAAAUUGGAGCUGCAGCUGCCGGCCUACACCACAGCAACUGCCACACCAAUGCCAGAUCCAAGCCACAUGGGCAACCUACACUGCAGCUCACAGGAACGCUGGAUCCUUAACCCACUGAUAUCAGGGAUUAAACCCGCCUCCUCGCCGACCCUGUGUUGGUGUUCUUAGCCUGCUGAGCCACAAUGGCAAUGCUGGAUGCCAUUUUAUAUCAGAUUCUAGACCUGAGGGAACAGGUGCCAGGGUCUGCUAAAAAUGCAUGUGACAGGGAUGUUCACUGCUAUGCUAUUUCUAUUAGGGACAACACUGGAAACUCUAAAUGUUUAGCAAGAGGAGAAUAAUUAAAUAAACUAUGGCCAUUUUCAAUGCAGCCCUUAGAGAGUCAUCAGAACUUCUAAAGAUCCUUUGGAGAGUCUUUCACAGUGUUGAGAGAAGUAGCUACAAUUUGUUAGGUUAGAAAAGGAGGAAAGCAAGUCACAGAUGAAGUAGGAGGCCAGUUACAUUUAUAAUACAGUCAGAGAUCCUUAGAAAAUACACCACAAUUUUAGGACAAGUUAUAGCUCUACAUGACGAAAGUAUGGGUAGUUUUGAUUGUUUCUUUAUACUUUUCAGCAUUUUCUUUUAUUUUUUUUUCUCUUUAUGAAAAAGGAGCCACACCACAGCCACAGCCACAGCCACAGCAACACUGGACCAAAGCUGCAUCUGCGACCUAUGCCCGCAGCUAACCACAAGGCUGGAUCCUUAGCUCCCUGAGUGAGGCAAGGGAUUGAACCCACAUCUUCAUGAAUAUUAGUUGGGUUUAUAACUUGCUGAGCCACAACGGGAACUCCCACAUUUUCUUUCAAUACUAUUUUUUGGGGGCCCUGACUACCCUCUAUCCACCCAAGUCUCCUCCCGUGAGAGGAAAAGGCUGGGCCUUACAAAGAGGAAGGUUUGAUGGAUGAGGGUUCAAUCCCUGGCUCCACUCAGUGGGUUAAGGAUCUGUCAUUGUUGUCACUGUGGUGAAGGCUGGCAGCUGAAGCUUUGAUUUGACCCCUAGCCUGGGAACUUCCAUAUACCGUGAGUGCAGCCCU
Molecule: long non-coding RNA, 3212 nt
Filed under: Sus scrofa (pig)
Lineage: Eukaryota; Metazoa; Chordata; Mammalia; Artiodactyla; Suidae
Description: lncRNA (ENSSSCG00025007342.1)
Source: RNAcentral